UACGUAGGUCCCGAGCGUUGUCCGGAUUUAUUGGGCGUAAAGGGAGCGUAGGCGGACUUUUAAGUGAGAUGUGAAAUACUCGGGCUCAACUUGAGUGCUGCAUUUCAAACUGGAAGUCUAGAGUGCAGGAGAGGAGAAUGGAAUUCCUAGUGUAGCAGUGAAAUGCGUAGAGAUUAGGAAGAACACCAGUGGCGAAGGCGAUUCUCUGGACUGUAACUGACGCUGAGGCUCGAAAGCGUGGGGAGCAAACAGG
Molecule: ribosomal RNA, 253 nt
Filed under: uncultured bacterium
Lineage: Bacteria
Description: partial 16S ribosomal RNA
Rfam family: Bacterial small subunit ribosomal RNA
Source: RNAcentral